UAGGGAAUCUUCGGCAAUGGGGGGAACCCUGACCGAGCAACGCCGCGUGAGUGAAGAAGGUUUUCGGAUCGUAAAGCUCUGUUGUUAAGGAAGAACGAGUGUGAGAAUGGAAAGUUCAUGCUGUGACGGUACUUAACCAGAAAGGGACGGCUAACUACGUGCCAGCAGCCGCGGUAAUACGUAGGUCCCGAGCGUUGUCCGGAUUUAUUGGGCGUAAAGCGAGCGCAGGCGGUUAGAAAAGUCUGAAGUGAAAGGCAGUGGCUCAACCAUUGUAGGCUUUGGAAACUGUUUAACUUGAGUGCAGAAAGGGGGAGUGGAAUUCCAUGUGUAGCCGUGAAAUGCGUAGAUAUAUGGAGGAACACCGGUGGCGAAAGCGGCUCUCUGGUCUGUAACUGACGCUGAGGCUCGAAAGCGUGGGGGGCGAACAGGA
Molecule: ribosomal RNA, 430 nt
Filed under: Verrucomicrobiota bacterium
Lineage: Bacteria; Pseudomonadati; Verrucomicrobiota
Description: Verrucomicrobia bacterium partial 16S ribosomal RNA
Rfam family: Bacterial small subunit ribosomal RNA
Source: RNAcentral